This 775-nucleotide ribosomal RNA is filed under the name uncultured Neocallimastigales. RNAcentral describes it as "partial large subunit ribosomal RNA". It matches the Rfam family "Eukaryotic large subunit ribosomal RNA", at positions 22 to 635 of the family's 3401-position model. The record is from RNAcentral. Lineage: Eukaryota; Fungi; Neocallimastigomycota; Neocallimastigomycetes; Neocallimastigales.
GUACACGCUGUGACUAGCAUAUCAAUAAGCGGAGGAAAAGAAACUAACAAGGAUUCCCCUAGUAACGGCGAGUGAAGCGGGAAGAGCUCAAAUUUGAAAUCUUAAAGGGUUUCCCUUUACGAAUUGUAGUUUAAAGAAGUGUUUUCUGUUGAGGUUUUGGUAAAAGUUCUUUGGAAUAGGACAUCAUAGAGGGUGAGAAUCCCGUAUUUGACCUUUACUUUCAACUUUGUGAUACACUUUCAAAGAGUCGGAUUGUUUGGGAAUGCAGUCCAAAAUGGGUGGCUAAAUUUCAUCUAAAGCUAAAUAUUGGCGAGAGACCGAUAGCGAACAAGUACCGUGAGGGAAAGAUGAAAAGAACUUUGAAAAGAGAGUUAAACAGUACGUGAAAUUGUCAAAAGGGAAGCGUUUGACACCAGUGUUGUUUUUCUGAAAAUCAAUUAAAGAACUGUUUAUGCUAAGUUGUUUAGACUUUAUCAGCUAACUGUUUAGUUUUGAGCUUUUCUUUAAUGCACCUUUCAGUUAACAAGUCAACAUCAAUUUCUUUUGCUGUAAAAAAGCUUGAGGAAGGUGGCUUGAGAUUCGUCUUAAGUGUUUAUAGCCUCUUGCCUAUGCAGUCGGAGAGAUUGAGGUCUGCAGCGUAGAUCCUUCGGGGCUAAAUGCAUUUGUGCUAAGUUAUAGCAUUUUAUAGACAACUUGUUGACUAUGAUUUGUCUUGUAACUUACUCGCUUAUGUUAUUUUACCUACGCUUAGGAUGUUGAUAUGCAUGACUGAUAU